This 74-nucleotide transfer RNA is filed under the name bacterium. RNAcentral's name for it is "tRNA-Arg". It matches the Rfam family "tRNA". From Rfam's summary of the family: Transfer RNA (tRNA) molecules are approximately 80 nucleotides in length. The record is from RNAcentral.
GCGCUCGUAGCUCAACUGGAUAGAGCAUCAGCUUGCGGAGCUGGGGGUUACAGGUUCAAAUCCUGUCGAGCGCA